UAGAGGAAGUAAAAGUCGUAACAAGGUUUCCGUAGGUGAACCUGCGGAAGGAUCAUUAUUGUAUAAUGGAGGUGCCGGGGCUGUCGCCAACUUUGUGCACGCCCUGGUGCUCUCUCAUAAUCCAUCUCACCCCCUUUGUGCAUCACCGGCGUGGGUGCUCUCCUUUUGGUUCGUUCCAAAAGGGGGGCGUUUGCGUUUUUAUACAGACCACCGCAUGUGUAGAAUGUCUUACUAUUUGCGAUAAUGCGCAAUCAAUACAACUUUCAACAACGGAUCUCUUGGCUCUCGCAUCGAUGAAGAACGCAGCGAAAUGCGAUACGUAAUGUGAAUUGCAGAAUUCAGUGAAUCAUCGAAUCUUUGAACGCACCUUGCGCCCCUUGGAAUUCCGAGGGGCACACCCGUUUGAGUGUCGUGAACAUCCUUCAACCUUUCUUGGUUUCUUGACCGGGGAAGGCUUGGACUUUGGGGGUUUUUCAUUGCUGGCCUCCCUUGAAGCCAGCUCCUCCUAAAUGGAUUAGUGGGGUCUGCUUUGCCGAUCCUUGACGUGAUAAGAUGUUUCUACGUCUUGGGUUUCGCACUGUCGCUUCAGACCCUGCUUCUAACUGUCUUGCAUCUAAGACACAGUUUUAUGAACCUUGACCUCAAAUCGGGUGAGACUACCCGCUGAACUUAAGCAUAU
This 679-nucleotide ribosomal RNA is filed under the name Russula sp. 7 GJ-2013b. RNAcentral describes it as "eukaryotic LSU rRNA". The stretch from base 259 to 412 matches the Rfam family "5.8S ribosomal RNA". The record is from RNAcentral. Lineage: Eukaryota; Fungi; Basidiomycota; Agaricomycetes; Russulales; Russulaceae.